This 2145-nucleotide ribosomal RNA is filed under the name Campylobacter jejuni. RNAcentral describes it as "partial 23S ribosomal RNA". It matches the Rfam family "Bacterial large subunit ribosomal RNA", at positions 793 to 2925 of the family's 2925-position model. Lineage: Bacteria; Pseudomonadati; Campylobacterota; Epsilonproteobacteria; Campylobacterales; Campylobacteraceae. The record is from RNAcentral.
AAAGCCCCGGGAUGACUUGUGGAUAGGGGUGAAAGGCCAAUCAAACUUCGUGAUAGCUGGUUCUCUCCGAAAUAUAUUUAGGUAUAGCGUUGUGUCGUAAUAUAAGGGGGUAGAGCACUGAAUGGGCUAGGGCAUACACCAAUGUACCAAACCCUAUCAAACUCCGAAUACCUUAUAUGUAAUCACAGCAGUCAGGCGGCGAGUGAUAAAAUCCGUCGUCAAGAGGGAAACAACCCAGACUACCAGCUAAGGUCCCUAAAUCUUACUUAAGUGGAAAACGAUGUGAAGUUACUUAAACAACCAGGAGGUUGGCUUAGAAGCAGCCAUCCUUUAAAGAAAGCGUAAUAGCUCACUGGUCUAGUGAUUUUGCGCGGAAAAUAUAACGGGGCUAAAGUAAGUACCGAAGCUGUAGACUUAGUUUACUAAGUGGUAGGAGAGCGUUCUAUUUGCGUCGAAGGUAUACCGGUAAGGAGUGCUGGAGCGAAUAGAAGUGAGCAUGCAGGCAUGAGUAGCGAUAAUUAAUGUGAGAAUCAUUAACGCCGUAAACCCAAGGUUUCCUACGCGAUGCUCGUCAUCGUAGGGUUAGUCGGGUCCUAAGUCGAGUCCGAAAGGGGUAGACGAUGGCAAAUUGGUUAAUAUUCCAAUACCAACAUUAGUGUGCGAUGGAAGGACGCUUAGGGCUAAGGGGGCUAGCGGAUGGAAGUGCUAGUCUAAGGUCGUAGGAGGUUAUACAGGCAAAUCCGUAUAACAAUACUCCGAGAACUGAAAGGCUUUUUGAAGUCUUCGGAUGGAUAGAAGAACCCCUGAUGCCGUCGAGCCAAGAAAAGUUUCUAAGUUUAGCUAAUGUUGCCCGUACCGUAAACCGACACAGGUGGGUGGGAUGAGUAUUCUAAGGCGCGUGGAAGAACUCUCUUUAAGGAACUCUGCAAAAUAGCACCGUAUCUUCGGUAUAAGGUGUGGUUAGCCUUGUAUUAGGAUUUACUCCGAAAGCAAGGAAACUUACAACAAAGAGUCCCUCCCGACUGUUUACCAAAAACACAGCACUCUGCUAACUCGUAAGAGGAUGUAUAGGGUGUGACGCCUGCCCGGUGCUCGAAGGUUAAUUGAUGGGGUUAGUAUUAGCGAAGCUCUUGAUCGAAGCCCGAGUAAACGGCGGCCGUAACUAUAACGGUCCUAAGGUAGCGAAAUUCCUUGUCGGUUAAAUACCGACCUGCAUGAAUGGCGUAACGAGAUGGGAGCUGUCUCAAAGAGGGAUCCAGUGAAAUUGUAGUGGAGGUGAAAAUUCCUCCUACCCGCGGCAAGACGGAAAGACCCCGUGGACCUUUACUACAGCUUGACACUGCUACUUGGAUAAGAAUGUGCAGGAUAGGUGGGAGGCUUUGAGUAUAUGACGCCAGUUGUAUAUGAGCCAUUGUUGAGAUACCACUCUUUCUUAUUUGGGUAGCUAACCAGCUUGAGUUAUCCUCAAGUGGGACAAUGUCUGGUGGGUAGUUUGACUGGGGCGGUCGCCUCCCAAAUAAUAACGGAGGCUUACAAAGGUUGGCUCAGAACGGUUGGAAAUCGUUCGUAGAGUAUAAAGGUAUAAGCCAGCUUAACUGCAAGACAUACAAGUCAAGCAGAGACGAAAGUCGGUCUUAGUGAUCCGGUGGUUCUGUGUGGAAGGGCCAUCGCUCAAAGGAUAAAAGGUACCCCGGGGAUAACAGGCUGAUCUCCCCCAAGAGCUCACAUCGACGGGGAGGUUUGGCACCUCGAUGUCGGCUCAUCGCAUCCUGGGGCUGGAGCAGGUCCCAAGGGUAUGGCUGUUCGCCAUUUAAAGCGGUACGCGAGCUGGGUUCAGAACGUCGUGAGACAGUUCGGUCCCUAUCUGCCGUGGGCGUAAGAAGAUUGAAGAGAUUUGACCCUAGUACGAGAGGACCGGGUUGAACAAACCACUGGUGUAGCUGUUGUUCUGCCAAGAGCAUCGCAGCGUAGCUAAGUUUGGAAAGGAUAAACGCUGAAAGCAUCUAAGCGUGAAGCCAACUCUAAGAUGAAUCUUCUCUAAGCUCUCUAGAAGACUACUAGUUUGAUAGGCUGGGUGUGUAAUGGAUGAAAGUCCUUUAGCUGACCAGUACUAAUAGAGCGUUUGGCUUAUCUUUAAUAAAGCAU